GGGCCCGCACAAGCGGUGGAGUAUGUGGUUUAAUUCGAUGCAACGCGAAGAACCUUACCAGGGUUUGACAUCCUGCGAAUUUCUGGGAAACCGGAAAGUGCCUUCGGGAGCGCAGUGACAGGUGGUGCAUGGCUGUCGUCAGCUCGUGUCGUGAGAUGUUGGGUUAAGUCCCGCAACGAGCGCAACCCACGUCUUUAGUUGCCAGCAUUUAGUUGGGCACUCUAGAGAGACCGCCGGUGAUAAACCGGAGAAGGUGUGGAUGACGUCAAGUCAUCAUGCCCCUUACAUCUGGGCUACACACGUACUACAAUGCUACGGACAAAGGGCAGCAAACUCGCGAGAGCUAGCAAAUCCCAAAAAGUGCGUCGU
Molecule: ribosomal RNA, 369 nt
Filed under: uncultured bacterium
Lineage: Bacteria
Description: bacterial SSU rRNA
Rfam family: Bacterial small subunit ribosomal RNA
Source: RNAcentral